CGUGCUGGAGAGAACCCCUAGGCCGUAGCCCUCCCAGGGCCACUUACAUUUUCUGCUGGGGUUGGAAUGUUGGUCAAUUGGAGCCAACAGCCACCUGUGAUGGCAGGAUGGAGCUGUGCUGUCAUGGAGCAGUGCCAGGAGGAAGCAGGGUCUGGCCGAGCAGCACUGCCCUGGUGCUAAGAAUGGACGUGCAGCUGACCCAGGGCCACAAGAGGAGCAAAAGAUGCCUUCUCCUCCAGGAGGCGCUGGUCAUUGCCAAGUUGCAGUAGGAGCCUCUGAGCCCAGCGCUCUAGGGAACGCAGCUCAGGUCCCCAGCUUGGGCAGAGCUGCCUGACGAGAGAGAAGAGGCAGCGUGGGGCUCAGCCAGCUCUCUCCCUGUCCCUUACUGGUGCACAGGGCACCAGAAGGAGCCAACAGAGCUCAGGAGAGCAGUCUCCCAUCACUUCAAGUCCUGGAGAAGUUGCUGAGCUGCUGCCAUGCCAUGAGUUUCUCUCUGGCCUGGGCUGUGUCCCUAAGCACUGGUCCUGCAGCUGAGUAGCAGAAGCAUUGCUGCUCACCUUCUUCCCCCUUUUCUUGCCCAGAGGAGGACAUUCAGCUCCAGGAGCCUUAAGAGUCUGCUGGGGGGCCAGGCAAAAGUGAGAGUGACUGCAGCUCAGGUGGCCUUUUCUUCUGUAGGGGUACUCUCCAAGCACAGCCUGGUUCUUGUAGACUGAUAGCAAGCAAAGCCCUCCAGUGGUCCCACCUGGCCACAAAGGGGGACUGCUGCUCACCAGGUGAGUUUUGGCAAGAAGGGCAGCCUCCUGCCAGCGGUUGAUCUGUGCUCACUGAUGCUGGUUGGGGAGCCCAAGGGAGGCUGGCCACGGUCUGUGUGCUCUGGGGAGAUGAUGGGUGCCUGUCCCCGGGAGCUCUGAAGACAGGGGAUUGGACUCUUUGCCCCCAGCAAGGAGCCAGGUGUGGGGCAGUGCUCCUGCCGGCACUGUUGGAAGGCAGAUCCUCAGACAAGCAAGUGUCCCCGUACCUCUUCUGCAGGAGCUGCUGGCUGUCCUACAGCAGGAAGGGCUGUCAGUGGAGGGGAUAUUCUGCCUAGCUGCUGGCAGUACAGUGCAUGGGGAGCUGCUGUGGACAGGUUUGCCCUUCCCAAGGAGGCCCUGGACUAGGGUGCAGCCAUUGACCUGGAAAGCCAACCUGCCAUGCUGCUGCAUGUCAUCUUGAAGGCGACCACUUCUGACCUGCAUCUCCAUGGAGGAGCCGCUGGCUACCUGCCUGGAGAGUGCAAAGGCUCACAUGGAAGCCGUGGCCUCACAGGACUUCCUCCAAAGUAUCCCCUUCAUGCUCCCCAUGAACAGGCUCUACAAGGACUGGAUGGCAUCCAAGCAGCAGACCACCAGGAGAAGGUGGAAGGGCUGAAAGCAUAAGCAUGGGCAGCAGCCUGCCUGUUGAGCAGGAGCCUUGACCAAUGGCUGAGAGCCCCUGGAAAGCUGUGCAGCAUGGCCAUUGGCUUUCCUGCCUUGGGCAAGUGUGGGGACAGCUGAGAACAACACGUACUUGAUGAACCUUGUGCUCUUGUUCCCUCAGGGUGGCCGAGAAGUUGGCUGUGGCUAAUCUCCUCACCCAAAAAGUAAGCUCCAACAGCAGCCAGAGCGCUGAGGCUUUCAUGCGUCCCAGCGUGCUACAGGGAAUACACACACUGUGACGCUGGAGCAAGGAAGAGCACUCUCACUGUCAGCUCAGGAGCUGUUUUGCUCAUGCAUGCUCAAGUUACAAGUGCUUUUGGCCAAUGAAGCAAGGAGCAUGGGAAUCACAUCUUUAUCUUUUAAUUGCCAGCCCUAGCAGAGCAAAUUCUGCACUCAAUGGUUUGUGCACAAAGUGCAGAUUUGCUGGGCAUCACUGUUUGGUGCAAUGUGGUGUGCUGGUUUGGUGCAUUAAGAGCAGAGUCAGGAUCUGACAGAGUACCAAACAGCUGCAGAUGCUGCGUAAGACUGACAACUGCAUUUCAUCCUCCAAUAAUGCCUUUGGAACACCCCAGCUUCAGUUGGCACAUCUGCCCAGGCAGGGAAUGAGGCCAUUCCUGAGAAGAGAUGGAAACUGCUCUGUAUGCACAUCAGUUUCAGGUUCUGUAUUCUCACCCAGGACUUGUUGCAGUCUGAACUCAUCUUCCCAUCUGGAUCCUCCAUCAGUGACACUUAACUCUGACAGGUAUCUGUUGUGCAUUACAGCAUUUCAGAGCUAAAUAAUUUAUUUUGGAAGCGAGUUUUACACAUAACAGAAAAUGGAAGAGAACAGGAAUACUGCAGCAGUGAACUGUGUGGUAGACAAAUACAUUCUGCCCUACAGUUUCUAAACAUUGCACUUUGCCAUCCAUUGUUUCAGAAUUGAUUUCUCUCCCAUUAUUAGCCUCAAACGAAAAACCUGAUCCAAAAAGCUUUUUGUUUUUCCAGGGUGAUUCAUUGAUUUCCAUUUGUAAUAAUAAAGGUGAAAAUAAAGGAGAAUAAACAAACGGAAAA
This is a long non-coding RNA of Pezoporus flaviventris, 2504 nucleotides long. RefSeq lists it as uncharacterized. The record is from RefSeq and is a predicted model, not a curated record. The transcript is spliced from 2 exons. NCBI's taxonomy places the organism in Eukaryota, Metazoa, Chordata, Aves, Psittaciformes, Psittacidae.